AGUGAUCGGCCAUUCUGACA
RNAcentral lists this microRNA (20 nucleotides) under Spodoptera frugiperda (fall armyworm). RNAcentral describes it as "sfr-miR-10454d-3p". The record is from miRBase by way of RNAcentral. Lineage: Eukaryota; Metazoa; Arthropoda; Insecta; Lepidoptera; Noctuidae.